UGGGGAAUUUUGGACAAUGGGCGAAAGCCUGAUCCAGCAAUGCCGCGUGUGUGAAGAAGGCCUUCGGGUUGUAAAGCACUUUUGUCCGGAAAGAAAUCCUUGGCUCUAAUACAGUCGGGGGAUGACGGUACCGGAAGAAUAAGCACCGGCUAACUACGUGCCAGCAGCCGCGGUAAUACGUAGGGUGCAAGCGUUAAUCGGAAUUACUGGGCGUAAAGCGUGCGCAGGCGGUUUGCUAAGACCGAUGUGAAAUCCCCGGGCUCAACCUGGGAACUGCAUUGGUGACUGGCAGGCUAGAGUAUGGCAGAGGGGGGUAGAAUUCCACGUGUAGCAGUGAAAUGCGUAGAGAUGUGGAGGAAUACCGAUGGCGAAGGCAGCCCCCUGGGCCAAUACUGACGCUCAUGCACGAAAAGCGUGGGGAGCAAAACAGGAUUAGAUACCCUGGUAGUCACGCCCUAAAACGAUGUCAACUAGUUGUUGGGGGAUUCAUUUUCCUUAGUAACGUAGCUAACGCGUGAAGUUGACCGCCUGGGGAGUACGGUCGCAAGAUU
This 551-nucleotide ribosomal RNA is filed under the name uncultured bacterium. RNAcentral describes it as "partial 16S ribosomal RNA". It matches the Rfam family "Bacterial small subunit ribosomal RNA", at positions 355 to 895 of the family's 1533-position model. The record is from RNAcentral.